CAACGUAGGUAACCUGCCCAUGUGCCCGGGAUAACUUCUGGAAACGGAUGCUAAAACCGGAUAGGUAGCAGACAAGCAUUUGACUGCUAUUAAAGUGGCUAAGGCCAUGAACAUGGAUGGACCUGCGGUGCAUUAGCUAGUUGGUGAGGUAACGGCCCACCAAGGCGACGAUGCAUAGCCGGCCUGAGAGGGCGGACGGCCACAUUGGGACUGAGACACGGCCCAAUCUCCUACGGGAGGCAGCAUG
This 247-nucleotide ribosomal RNA is filed under the name uncultured bacterium. Its description in RNAcentral is "partial 16S ribosomal RNA". It matches the Rfam family "Bacterial small subunit ribosomal RNA", at positions 113 to 353 of the family's 1533-position model. The record is from RNAcentral.